UGGAUGGCUCCGGAUGUUAGACC
Molecule: non-coding RNA, 23 nt
Filed under: Rattus norvegicus (Norway rat)
Lineage: Eukaryota; Metazoa; Chordata; Mammalia; Rodentia; Muridae
Source: RNAcentral